Acanthosepion pharaonis is the source of this 98-nucleotide non-coding RNA. The record is from the annotation of a GenBank genome assembly. Lineage: Eukaryota; Metazoa; Mollusca; Cephalopoda; Sepiida; Sepiidae.
UUGAAACUCAGGUUCUCGUACAAUCACCAAAGUUAAGCAACAUUGAGCCUGGUCACUAUCUAGAUGGGUGACCACUUGGGAAUACUACAUGCUGUAAU